This 969-nucleotide unclassified non-coding RNA is filed under the name Amphimedon queenslandica. RNAcentral's name for it is "uncharacterized LOC109587576, transcript variant X2". The record is from RNAcentral. Lineage: Eukaryota; Metazoa; Porifera; Demospongiae; Haplosclerida; Niphatidae.
UGUUCUUUUGAGUUAUAUAAUGAGCAUUAGAAUUAGCUAUGUACAGUGUAUUUACGGUUGCCAGCUUACCACAGCAACCAUAUUUUACCACAAUGAAACUGACAAUCUUAUUAAUGCUUUCAACCUUGUUCAUUGGAAAUCAUGAAGCAUCUCAUGUUACCCUCUCAUGUGAAGAUAACUGCAUUGAAAUGCAAUUCUGUACAGACAUUAGAAUGGUUGAGAUUGAUGAAGAGUAUUAUUACAAAGACAUUUUUACUCCAGGACAAAACUGUAUUCAUUAUUAUACAGCACCUCUUUCUUACCAGUGCUAUAAUAGCACAAUAAGGUGUGCUUGAAUGUGUCUAGUUACCUGGCACAAUUUGGAAAUCAAAGUACACUUGUUCUAUGUUUAAACAGUUCUAGCUCUAUGUGUAGCUGUUACUUAAAAUUUAACAUAACAAUAACUGAUUCCACAUGCAAUACUAUCGAUCCAUCAACGUCAGUUUCGAGCCCUUCCGAAUCUCUAGAAAUAUCUCCUUCAAGUACCAGUUCUCCUGAUACUAAAACCCCAACUUUUUCUAUCCUACCUUCUACUACUUCUACUCCACCACCUACUACUGAUGGACCUGAUACACCUUCUCCUGGUGGAGCUUCUACUCUUAAAGCAACAGGAGGGAUGUUAAUGCUGCUACUGCUAUUGUCCUUGUUCUUAUGAACUGUCAAUAGCAUCAUUGCCUUUUGCCCUAUGGACUUUGUGUCCAGUUUUGCCUCAAAAAAAGAAGUUGUACUGCAAUUAGUGUCUACUGAUUGGUGCUGCCAUUGACAAUCUAUAGCUAAGUAAUAACUGAUAUGUAGUAUCAUUGAUUGAUUAAUAUUGAUAUUUUUGUUCUGAUUUUAUUGUUUUUAUAUAUUCUUAUUACUAUUUUUCUUAGUUUUUGUUCUUAUUAACUGUCAGUGAAAUAAUGCACCAUCAUUGUUAUUUUUAUUUAA